UAAAGAGGAAAUCCUCUAAUGAAUUAAUGUUUACUACGAGACUGGCGCCGAAGUAAAGGCGAAGUAUUAUCUGGAAAACAUUUUCGAAGCUGCUUUGGAGUCGUUGGUAAGCAAAAAUUUCGGUCGUAGACCAUGAACGUGCCAACAAGACUGGAUACCGUGACGCCAAAGCAUAUGUAAACCAAGAAUGGUUAAAAAAAAUCAUGUUCCGCCCUUCAUUUCGUCUUUCCAAUUUGCCAGAUGCCAAUCAAUCCGAUGAACUUUUUAUCCAGGGCAUUUUAGAGAGCAAUGCUCAAAAAUUCAAACUGGGAAAUCGGGUUAUAUGGCAUCUAUAUCAAGUUACAUACCAAUUUAGACCAUACUUGGAAUAGUUGUUGGGAGUCAUACCAACUCAUACGCAAAAUUUCAACCGUAUUGGAUAAGAAUUGCGUCCUCUAGAAGCCCAAGAAGUCUUAUCGGAAGAUCGUUUUAUAUGGCGGCUAUAUCGGGAUAUGGAUUGAUUUAGACCAUACACAGUUGUUGGAAAUCAAAAUAAAACACUUCAUACAAAAUUUUUAGAAGCUCAAAAA
Long non-coding RNA from Stomoxys calcitrans (stable fly), 569 nucleotides. RefSeq lists it as uncharacterized. The transcript has 2 exons. The record is from RefSeq and is a predicted model, not a curated record. NCBI's taxonomy places the organism in Eukaryota, Metazoa, Arthropoda, Insecta, Diptera, Muscidae.